Molecule: ribosomal RNA, 497 nt
Filed under: uncultured bacterium
Lineage: Bacteria
Description: partial 16S ribosomal RNA
Rfam family: Bacterial small subunit ribosomal RNA
Source: RNAcentral
GAUGAACGCUGGCGGCGUGCCUAAUACAUGCAAGUCGAGCGAACAGAUGAGGAGCUUGCUCCUCUGACGUUAGCGGCGGACGGGUGAGUAACACGUGGAUAACCUACCUAUAAGACUGGGAUAACUUCGGGAAACCGGAGCUAAUACCGGAUAAUAUAUUGAACCGCAUGGUUCAAUAGUGAAAGACGGUUUUGCUGUCACUUAUAGAUGGAUCCGCGCCGCAUUAGCUAGUUGGUAAGGUAACGGCUUACCUAGGCAACGAUGCGUAGCCGACCUGAGAGGGUGAUCGGCCACACUGGAACUGAGACACGGUCCAGACUCCUACGGGAGGCAGCAGUAGGGAAUCUUCCGCAAUGGGCGAAAGCCUGACGGAGCAACGCCGCGUGAGUGAUGGAGGUCUUCGGAUCGUAAAACUCUGUUAUUAGGGAAGAACAAAUGUGUAAGUAACUAUGCACGUCUUGACGGUACCUAAUCAGAAAGCCACGGCUAACUACGUG